CUUUCCUGUCUUUUGCAUUUGAAAAUAUUAGUCAUGUAUUCAUUUGUACUUAAAGAUAUAUUAAUUAUUUAUUAUACCGUUUUAUUCAAGUUCAAUAAACAGCAACAUAUUAUAAAAGAAAAACAAUCCAUCCUGUUUCAACUUUGCCAAAAAAAUUGUAUUAUUCAGUGCCUCUGGGUUCCUAGCCACGUAGGUAUCCACAGUAACGAGAUAGGUGAUACUUGGUCAAAUUCUCCUUAAACUUAAUUAGCCCUUUCUUUUUUUCAAUUCCUUGGUCACAUCUCUCACCUAUCCUUCGAUAUCAUGUUCUUACACCCUGGUCUAUUUAUUGGAACAGAUUACCAGCAAACUUUACCUCUAAAUUCAAAUCUAUAGUCCCUGCCAUUCUAAAUAAUAUUUGGUUCAUGGAUCUUAAACUAUUAACAUCUCAAAUAAUCAAAUUUAAUCUAUUACACGUGGGCCAUUACCCUCCUCCCCCAUUCUUAAAAGCUCAAUCUCAAAGAUUACCUUUUCUGCACACUAUUUAGAUCAGUGGUCUGAUCAGUUAGAUCAUCUCAACCUUUUUCAUGUAAAUGUUCAAAAACACACACACCCUCCCCUUAAAUUAAAUGAGACUAUUAGAGUUUAG
Non-coding RNA from Cinara cedri, 628 nucleotides. NCBI's taxonomy places the organism in Eukaryota, Metazoa, Arthropoda, Insecta, Hemiptera, Aphididae. The record is from the annotation of a GenBank genome assembly.